UAGGGAAUCUUCCGCAAUGGACGCAAGUCUGACGGAGCAACGCCGCGUGAGUGAAGAAGGAUUUCGGUUCGUAAAACUCUGUUGUUAGAGAAGAACAGCGCAUAGAGUAACUGUUAUGCGUGUGACGGUAUCUAACCAGAAAGCCACGGCUAACUACGUGCCAGCAGCCGCGGUAAUACGUAGGUGGCAAGCGUUGUCCGGAUUUAUUGGGCGUAAAGCGAGCGCAGGCGGUUAGAAAAGUCUGAAGUGAAAGGCAGUGGCUCAACCAUUGUAGGCUUUGGAAACUGUUUAACUUGAGUGCCGAAGGGGAGAGUUGAAUUCCCUGUGUAGCGGUGAAAUGCGUAGAUAUAUGGAGGAACACCGGUGGCGAAAGCGGCUCUCUGGUCUGUAACUGACGCUGAGGCUCGAAAGCGUGGGGAGCGAACAGG
RNAcentral lists this ribosomal RNA (428 nucleotides) under Bacteroidota bacterium. RNAcentral describes it as "Bacteroidetes bacterium partial 16S ribosomal RNA". It matches the Rfam family "Bacterial small subunit ribosomal RNA", at positions 355 to 776 of the family's 1533-position model. Lineage: Bacteria; Pseudomonadati; Bacteroidota. The record is from RNAcentral.